Non-coding RNA from Nicotiana tabacum (common tobacco), 424 nucleotides. The record is from RefSeq and is a predicted model, not a curated record. Lineage: Eukaryota; Viridiplantae; Streptophyta; Magnoliopsida; Solanales; Solanaceae.
UCUUUCUCUUCGUCAAUGAUUAUGGAUCGCUCUUGUCAUUUAGUUCGAUACACUACUCUAAGGACAGUUGCCUAUACAUUAUCUUGACUUUCUAGUAGAGUCCAAUUUGCUGCAACUUCACUGUACAUGUUUGAAAAGUUCAGCAAUAAAGGAUGAUGAUGGCCAAAACAUUUCAAUUUGUCUGUGUACUUAUUUGUUUCUUGGCCAUUAUUAUCAACAUUGAGGCUUGUGUAAAAGAAAAUGCAACAUCAGACAUAGAUCAGGGAUAUUAUGUCGAAAAAACAGUCGUUCACAAUGCUGUAUCAGAAGGAGCAGUGUGCUUGGAUGGAUCACCUCCAGCAUACCAUUUUGAACCAGGAUUCGGAGAUGGAGUGGGAAAAUGGCUUGUUCAUCUUUCGGUAAGUCAUAUCUAAUUAACUAUGUA